UGAGUAAGCUAGAUGGUCGCUGCCAUGAGUAAUCAUGGGAGAGGAAAGUCCGAGCUCCAUAGGGCAGGGUGCUGGGUAACACCCAGUGGGGGCGACCCUAAGGAAAGUGCAACAGAGAUAUACCGCCACAAUCAAUCUGAUGAUUGAUGAGUGCAACAAUUGUUGCGUGGUAAGGGUGGAAAGGUGAGGUAAGAGCUCACCAGCACACUGGCGACAGUGUGGCUCUGUAAACCCCACCUGGAGCAAGACCAAAUAGGAGGGCUUAUGCGCUGGCCCGGCGUGCCCUCGGGUAGUGUCGCUUGAGCCUACUGGCAACAGUAGGCCUAGAUAGAUGACCAUCCACGACAGAACUCGGCUUACAGGCUUACUCAAUUA
Thermobrachium celere DSM 8682 is the source of this 375-nucleotide non-coding RNA. It matches the Rfam family "Bacterial RNase P class A". From Rfam's summary of the family: Ribonuclease P (RNase P) is a ubiquitous endoribonuclease, found in archaea, bacteria and eukarya as well as chloroplasts and mitochondria. Lineage: Bacteria; Bacillati; Bacillota; Clostridia; Eubacteriales; Clostridiaceae. The record is from Rfam.